GACGAACGCUGGCGGCGUGCUUAACACAUGCAAGUCGAACGAGAAAUAUAUAUUUGAGAUUUCGGUUGAAAAUAUAUAUGGAAAGUGGCGGACGGGUGAGUAACGCGUGAGCAAUCUACCCUUCACAAAGGAAUAGCCUCGUGAAAACGGGAUUAAUGCCAUAUGAAACCUAAGUAUCGCAUGAUAAGAAGGUUAAAGAUUUAUCGGUGAAGGAUGAGCUCGCGUCCCAUUAGCUAGUUGGAGAGGUAACGGCUCACCAAGGCGACGAUGGGUAGCCGAUCUAAGAGGAUGACCGGCCACAUUGGAACUGAGACACGGUCCAAACUCCUACGGGAGGCAGCAGUGGGGAAUAUUGCACAAUGGAGGGAACUCUGAUGCAGCGACGCCGCGUGAGCGAUGAAGGUUUUCGAAUCGUAAAGCUCUGUCCUAUGGGAAGAUAAUGACAGUACCAUAGAAGAAAGCCCCGGCUAACUACGUGCCAGCAGCCGCGGUAAUACGUAGGGGGCGAGCGUUGUCCGGAAUUAUUGGGCGUAAAGAGUGCGUAGGCGGUCAAUUAAGUCAGAUGUGAAAACUUAGGGCUCAACCUUAAGAGUGCAUCUGAAACUGAUAGACUUGAGCCAAGGAGAGGAAAGUGGAAUUCCUAGUGUAGCGGUGAAAUGCAUAGAUAUUAGGAGGAAUACCGGUGGCGAAGGCGACUUUCUGGACUUGAGCUGACGCUGAGGCACGAAAGCGUGGGGAGCAAACAGGAUUAGAUACCCUGGGUAGUCCACGCCGUAAACGAUGAGUGCUAGGUGUCUGGAAGAGAUUUUAGGUGCCGACGUUAACACAUUAAGCACUCCGCCUGGGGGAGUACGUACGCAAGUAUGAAACUCAAAGGAAUUGACGG
Molecule: ribosomal RNA, 886 nt
Filed under: uncultured bacterium
Lineage: Bacteria
Description: bacterial SSU rRNA
Rfam family: Bacterial small subunit ribosomal RNA
Source: RNAcentral